Molecule: long non-coding RNA, 936 nt
Organism: Colossoma macropomum (tambaqui)
Lineage: Eukaryota; Metazoa; Chordata; Actinopteri; Characiformes; Serrasalmidae
Exons: 2
Source: RefSeq, a predicted model, not a curated record
UCAUCGCUGCAGAGUGUUUUGGUCUACCAGCUCUAGUUUGGGCUCUACAUGUUCUGUAUCGUCAUCAAAUGAGUGGAGGCCGAAUCUUAGCCUUGGUCAUCAUGCUUCUUCCCCCCGACCUGCUGGAGCUGCUUCUGAAUCCAUACAUAGUGACAACAUUGUUGCAGAAUAAAAACUGCUGGGAGACGAGCACAACAUGCAGGAUAUUAACCUGUUUAUGGUCAGGAUCAAUGAUCUAUGGGUUUCUCCUACAACAGGUGGUGGCUCUAGAGGAUGCUCUCUCUUUGAGACAUCCACACUGUUUUGCUCAUGUUUUCUUUCCUUCUUGCUCCAUUAUAACCUUCAUCAUUGUGUUCAUUUGUUUCUUCCUUAGUGAGCUGUUGAGUUUAAUAUAUCUUCUAAUAUUGAUUCUGCCUGUUCUUUUAAUUAUAACACUAUCAUGUAUAGUCACUUGUAGAGCUCAACCUCACAUCAGUGACAUGCCUUACAGAACCAAGAAGCCGAGUUCUACAGUGUUAGCUUUAGUCACAUCCACAGUGAUCCUGCAUGUAAUGUUCAUCAUCUUAUGUAUUUUACUGUGGCGUUACAGAGCUGUGUUGGUGAUGUAUUUCUGUCUGAUGAGUUUGAGAGUGAUCACAGACCCCCUGCUGUGUGUGUUGGUCUACAGGAAGGACCUCAGGGUUCAGAAAGAAAGACAUGCAGAGCACAGAAAAGACAUAGAGCUGACUCAGAUACAGAGCUCAGACACCCCAAACACACACACAGCUCAAGACGUCUGAGACUAGAAGAUUCUAGGAGAAGAUCUGGACCAAUCUCAGACCUAAAAAUGCACCAAUCAUUGUUUUUACUACAUUGUGUUUUAAAGAUUGUUUAAUAUUGUUUUAUGAUCAUAAAAUCAACAUUCAGCAGAAUAAAUCUGAGUGCAGUUUGCCCUUA